GCUGCAUAGAAUCGCUCCGGAUACGCGAGGCCAGAGCUUACCCUCGCCAUUGCCGCCAUUUCACUUCUCUCUCACUGAAAUUUUUGUGCUUUCCUUCGGAUCACAAUUUCAGAUCCUAAUUAAUGAAUUGUAGAAGAAGGUGCCGCCAUUUCACUUCUCUCUCUCUCUCACCUCUGAAAUUUUAGUGCUUUUCUUCGGAUCACAAUUUCAGAUCCUGAUCAAUGAAUUGUAGAAGAAGGUGAAAUUGGAGUAAUGGUUCUAAUUUCUUUUUUCUUCUUUUUCCUUUUCUGGUUUACCAUUAUCACUUAUUAUCAGAAGAUUCAAGGGGUGAUAUGAAUUGAAAUCUGAGAGUGUCGUACUUUUUGGUUUGGGAAUUG
This 377-nucleotide long non-coding RNA is filed under the name Nicotiana benthamiana. Its description in RNAcentral is "long non-coding RNA (NBEN_LNC019797)". The record is from RNAcentral. Lineage: Eukaryota; Viridiplantae; Streptophyta; Magnoliopsida; Solanales; Solanaceae.